This is a long non-coding RNA of Oreochromis aureus, 1092 nucleotides long. NCBI's taxonomy places the organism in Eukaryota, Metazoa, Chordata, Actinopteri, Cichliformes, Cichlidae. The record is from Ensembl.
ACCGGCUUCCACGCUGAAUGCUGGUCACACUGGAAGGAGACUUACGGACUGGCGAGGAGAAGCCGCCCGAGCUGGCUGAAGUAGUCCUCCGGUGAUUGCCUUAGAUGAGACGCAGGUGGUUUGGAGGCGGCCCAGCCCGAGGGCGUGGCCACCGCAGCCUCCCACAGCUCCCAGGAUGCCGAGCCACGGGCCGUGACAAUCUGAACAUAAAGUGAAAAUAUUCUGAUCAUUUUCAGCUCUGUGUUUGAACAAUAACUUCAUAACUUAACAACAAAAAAUGCUUCCUUUUCUUUUACUGGGCCUCUGUGCAUUUCAUAUAUUCAAAUCUAUUCAUUUGGUGAAAAAUCUGACUUCAUUCCACCAUUUGGUUAUUUUAUGAAUGCAGAUACCUGUUUGUUUAAAUGUGUGAAAACAGAUGAUCAACACUUUUCUCUUGGCUGCCAGAUCUCAUAUACAGCACAUGGAUAUGUUUCUCUGUCAGACUUGAAUGAGCAUGCCCAGCCAUACAGAGGGGGUCUCCUGAAGGCUGCAGUGGGAGUCUGCCAGGCCAGGACUGUGUGGGACCGCCCCGAGUACAACAGCUCAGCACAUCAUUGUGUUCACCAGUCUCUUUACCUGGUUUCUCCAGAGCUCAUGCCUGGACGCUCACCACCUCCCUCCCCUCCUGGACUCCAUUCUCUCUCUGUCACAUGGCACCUCUGUAUCCAGCAUCCUUUAGCACAGUGGUUCCCAAACUUUUUUCGCUAGGCCCCCCUUUGUUUUACAAGAAAAAUGUUCGCGCCCCCCCCCCUCUCUCGCGCACGCACACACGCACGCACUGACACAUCCUCCAACCACACACACUCAUAUUUUGCUCCAUUGCGGUUUAUUUCACACCUCAAACAUUUAGUAAACAAUUAAGCAAAUACAAGUAAUCUGCAGGUAGUAAGAAAAUAAACUACUAACUCUUUUACGCUGCGUCCGCACCUACACGGGUAUUUUUGAAAACGCAGCUGUUUCGUCCACACGGAAACGGCGUUUCGAAUCACCGAAAACGGAGAUUUUUUAAAACUCCUUUUUUUUACGUGUGGACGAGGAUUACAGAGUUCGUCA